This 73-nucleotide transfer RNA is filed under the name Phycisphaerae bacterium. Its description in RNAcentral is "tRNA-Ala". It matches the Rfam family "tRNA". Rfam says of the family: Transfer RNA (tRNA) molecules are approximately 80 nucleotides in length. Their secondary structure includes four short double-helical elements and three loops (D, anti-codon, and T loops). Further hydrogen bonds mediate the characteristic L-shaped molecular structure. tRNAs have two regions of fundamental functional importance: the anti-codon, which is responsible for specific mRNA codon recognition, and the 3' end, to which the tRNAs corresponding amino acid is attached (by aminoacyl-tRNA synthetases). tRNAs cope with the degeneracy of the genetic code in two manners: having more than one tRNA (with a specific anti-codon) for a particular amino acid; and 'wobble' base-pairing, i.e. permitting non-standard base-pairing at the 3rd anti-codon position. RNAcentral also lists the same sequence under 1 other name. Lineage: Bacteria; Pseudomonadati; Planctomycetota; Phycisphaerae. The record is from RNAcentral.
GGGGCCGUAGCUCAAUUGGGAGAGCACCGCGUUUGCAAUGCGGGGGUUAGGGGUUCGAGCCCCCUCGGCUCCA